CUCCUCCUCUCGCCUCUUUCCCUCCCUCCUUCCUGCCUGGGGCCUGCCCUCCUUUCUCCGCCCCCCCUGGAACACUGCGCGGUUCGGGGCUCUGACCCACCCACCUCCUCCUUUUGUGCCAGCGCUUUUUCUGGCCAGAGAGCGCUGGAGACAAGCCCCAGCAGAGCGAAAUAUCCUGAAGUAGCUUUCUUUGCCCCAAUUUGCGCGCCCCCUCACCCGGAAUACACACACGGUAUUCAAUACAACCGCCUCGAACAUCCCAGACGUCUAGAAGGAUACCAUCUGUGCAGAAAGCUGCGUGAGUCACACGGAAACAGAAGGGGCAACCGAGGGGAUUCAGAGUGGCCCACUGCGGCCGGAUACUAUGGCCAUGUUCUCUGUUUUGAUCCUCACGACCAUGCCCCAAGUUCGCUAUUACCAUGUCCACUUUCUCCAAUAAGACACCGACGCUUAGAAACUUGCCCAGAUUCACCCCCGUUACUGGCAGAGCAGGGACUGGAACUUAGGUGUGUAGUUCUGCCGACGUCAAAGUCCAUACUACAGAUUUUUUGUUAGUUUGUUUCUCUUUUGCAAAGGAAUAAAUCAAGGACUGGACCGGGUGCGUGCCUGCUCUGCUGCGGUUUAGGAUGGGGCUUGAGGUUCUCCUUCCAGGAUCAGCUGAUGGGAGAGCACAAGGCACAGAAAGUUCUCUGUCUCACCCACAGCCAUGGGGAUCCAGCUGUAGGUUCCUGCAGCCAGAUUUCCUCAUUUCCUGGGUUGUUCUCAACCACCCCAAAGAUACCACGACCAGACUGGAGCCUCUUCCCUGUGGCUUGGCAUCGCUGGAUCCUGGCAUCAGGACAGGGUUUCUAGGCUGCCCGCAGGACGGAUCUGGUUUCUUUGAGGCAUUUGAGGUCUUAUUCUGAAUUUGAAUUUGUUUAUCCAGAAGGAGUGCUGUUUCCUGGCUGGAGUGCAGUGGCAUGAUCAUAGCUCAUUGCAGCCUCAAACACCUGUGCUCAAGCAAUUCUCCUGCCUCAGCUUCCUGAGUAGCUAGGACUACAAGCAUGUGCCACCAUGGCCAGCUAAGUGUUUUUUGUAGAUAUGGGGGUCCCAUAAAUAUGUACAUUUACAAUGUGUCCAUUAAAAAAAUAAACAAAAAUAAAAGACUUGAAGAAACAUCUCUA
This is a long non-coding RNA of Homo sapiens (human), 1163 nucleotides long. RefSeq lists it as uncharacterized. Lineage: Eukaryota; Metazoa; Chordata; Mammalia; Primates; Hominidae. The transcript has 2 exons. The record is from RefSeq and is a predicted model, not a curated record.